This 588-nucleotide ribosomal RNA is filed under the name uncultured bacterium. RNAcentral's name for it is "bacterial SSU rRNA". It matches the Rfam family "Bacterial small subunit ribosomal RNA", at positions 338 to 916 of the family's 1533-position model. The record is from RNAcentral.
CCUACGGGAGGCAGCAGUGGGGAAUCUUGCGCAAUGGGCGAAAGCCUGACGCAGCGACGCCGCGUGGAGGAUGAAGGCCUUAGGGUUGUAAACUUCUGUUAAGUGGGAGGAAAUGCCGAUUAAUAAUACGAAUCGGAGCUGACUGUACCAUUAGAGAAAGCACCGGCUAAACUCGUGCCAGCAGCCGCGGUAAUACGAGUGGUGCAAGCGUUAUUCGGAAUCAUUGGGCGUAAAGGGUGUGUAGACGGCAUGUUAAGUCAAUUGUUAAAUUCUCCGGCCUAACCGGAGGCAAAUAAUAGAUACUGGCGUGCUAGAGGGUGGAAGAGAGAAGUGGAAUUCUCGGAGUAGCGGUAAAAUGCGUAGAUCUCGAGAGGAACACCAAUGGCGAAGGCAGCUUCUUGGUCCAUUUCUGACGUUGAAACACGAAAGCGUGGGGAGCAAACAGGAUUAGAUACCCUGGUAGUCCACGCCGUAAACGAUGAUCACUAGACGUUAGUUCUGUUUUUUACGGGUAUUAGUGUCGUAGCUUACGCGUUAAGUGAUCCGCCUGGAUUACGGUCGCAAGAUUAAACUCAAAGGAAUUGACGG